UACGAAGGGGGCUAGCGUUGCUCGGAUUUACUGGGCGUAAAGGGCGCGUAGGCGGUCGUGACAAGUCACUUGUGAAAUCUCCGGGCUUAACUCCGGAACUGCCUUUAAGACUGCAUCGCUAGAAUCGUGGAGAGGUGAGUGGAAUUCCGAGUGUAGAGGUGAAAUUCGUAGAUAUUCGGAAGAACACCAGUGGCGAAGGCGACUCACUGGACACGUAUUGACGCUGAGGUGCGAAAGCGUGGGGAGCAAACAGG
RNAcentral lists this ribosomal RNA (254 nucleotides) under uncultured bacterium. Its description in RNAcentral is "partial 16S ribosomal RNA". It matches the Rfam family "Bacterial small subunit ribosomal RNA", at positions 524 to 776 of the family's 1533-position model. The record is from RNAcentral.